This 23-nucleotide non-coding RNA is filed under the name Cricetulus griseus (Chinese hamster). The record is from RNAcentral. Lineage: Eukaryota; Metazoa; Chordata; Mammalia; Rodentia; Cricetidae.
AUUCUUAUUAUUUUGAUCAUGGA